UGACGCUGGCUCCGCUGUGGUCUGUGACAAACAACUUCUUAUCUGGGAAAGUUGGCACAUGAUUUUUCAUCACCCUGUGAGAAAGUUCCACGCGGCAGCUUUGCAUUGGGGCUUGGGAUGCUUUAUUAAGGCUGGGAGGGGCACCCGAGAGGAAGAAGAAGAAAUAUCCAGGGACCUGAAUAAACUGUUGAAAGAAGAUUCUCGAGUUGCGUCUUCCUUGCGGGCAAGGGGUCGCGACAAGUGGUGCCGAGACCCGGGAACCAGAACUUUCAGCAGUCAGGGGUGGUGCACCGGUUAGUCCCAGGUAAGUGGGAUCCGCGAUCAAAGCGGGGUUAGUCCCUAGUAAGUGGGAUCCGCGACCAAAGCGGGACAGCUCCUCUGUAAUGAAAGAGAGAGCCUUACAUUUUAUUGCAGCUGCACUGUGUACUUUCGCU
RNAcentral lists this long non-coding RNA (434 nucleotides) under Marmota monax (woodchuck). The record is from RNAcentral. Lineage: Eukaryota; Metazoa; Chordata; Mammalia; Rodentia; Sciuridae.